This 194-nucleotide unclassified non-coding RNA is filed under the name uncultured Pyrenochaetopsis. RNAcentral's name for it is "sequence contains ITS1". Lineage: Eukaryota; Fungi; Ascomycota; Dothideomycetes; Pleosporales; Cucurbitariaceae. The record is from RNAcentral.
CAUAAUAUUACGGGGGGCCGGACCCUCAAGUCUUCUGUCUUCAAACCGCAGUGGGCUUGAGACCCGCCCUGUCUGAUAUUCUACCCAUGUCUUUUGCGUACUUUAUGUUUCCUUGGUAGGCUUGCCUGCCGAUAGGACAACUUUUAAACCUUUUUGUAAUUGCAAUCAGCGUCUGAAAAAAACUUUUAAAGUUA